Molecule: ribosomal RNA, 372 nt
Filed under: uncultured organism
Description: partial 16S ribosomal RNA
Rfam family: Bacterial small subunit ribosomal RNA
Source: RNAcentral
GUAGGUGGCAAGCGUUGUCCGGAAUUAUUGGGCGUAAGCGCGCGCAGGCGGUUCUUUAAGUCUGAUGUGAAAGCCCACGGCUCAACCGUGGAGGGUCAUUGGAAACUGGAGAACUUGAGUACAGAAGAGGAAAGCGGAAUUCCACGUGUAGCGGUGAAAUGCGUAGAGAUGUGGAGGAACACCAGUGGCGAAGGCGGCUUUCUGGUCUGUAACUGACGCUGAGGCGCGAAAGCGUGGGGAGCAAACAGGGAUUAGAUACCCUGGUAGUCCACGCCGUAAACGAUGAGUGCUAAGUGUUAGGGGGUUUCCGCCCCCUUAGUGCUGCAGCUAACGCAUUAAGCACUCCGCCUGGGGAGUACGGCCGCAAGGCUG